Molecule: small nuclear RNA, 127 nt
Filed under: Triticum dicoccoides
Lineage: Eukaryota; Viridiplantae; Streptophyta; Magnoliopsida; Poales; Poaceae
Description: snRNA U1
Rfam family: U1 spliceosomal RNA
About the family: U1 is a small nuclear RNA (snRNA) component of the spliceosome (involved in pre-mRNA splicing). Its 5' end forms complementary base pairs with the 5' splice junction, thus defining the 5' donor site of an intron. There are significant differences in sequence and secondary structure between metazoan and yeast U1 snRNAs, the latter being much longer (568 nucleotides as compared to 164 nucleotides in human).
Source: RNAcentral
AAACUGGUGCGCCACUAGCAUGCCUUUUUCUAGUAGUGUGGUGGGUGCGUUGGCCCAUCAUCUCCCCAAGUGGGAGAGUGAACGUCAUAAUUUGUGGUAGAGGGGGUACGUGUUCGCGCAGCCCCUG